UGACUGGGGUGAUCUGGAACCCCUGCUGUGCCCAGUGUGUUCUAAAGACCCAAGAGCGGACUUCAAGUAAAAAUGUUUACUGACAAAAAUAUGGCUGAAGGGUAGGAAGAGCGUUAUUGGUGAUAGCAGGCAGAAGGGUGGUGAGAAUGGCUGGAGAAGGGCGGACAGAUGUGUGAGCAGAGAUGGUCCGGGUAGAAGCGAUCUACAAACACCUGGACUUCAUCCCUGCCUGCCAACCAUGCCAGCCAAAACUCUCAGCCACACCGGAUCAGUUACUGGACCCAGCUCACUCACUCUGCCGGCCACGCCGUCCACUUCUGCCCCGCCAAAACACUCUGAAGAGUACCCCCUCAGUCCAUUACUUUUGAACUGUAAAUAAAGUGUUGAACUUG
This is a long non-coding RNA of Micropterus dolomieu (smallmouth bass), 392 nucleotides long. RefSeq lists it as uncharacterized. The record is from RefSeq and is a predicted model, not a curated record. Lineage: Eukaryota; Metazoa; Chordata; Actinopteri; Centrarchiformes; Centrarchidae. The transcript has 3 exons.